CCUACGGGUGGCAGCAGUGGGGAAUAUUGCACAAUGGGGGAAACCCUGAUGCAGCGACGCCGCGUGAGUGAAGAAGUAAUUCGUUAUGUAAAGCUCGAUCAGCAGGGAAGAAAAUGACGGUACCUGAGUAAGAAGCCCCGGCUAACUACGUGCCAGCAGCCGCGGUAAUACGUAGGGUGCAAACGUUAUCCGGAUUUACUGGGUGGAAAGGGAGCGUAGACGGCAGUGCAAGUCUGGAGUGAAAGGCGGGGGCUCAACCCCCGGACUGCUCUGGAAACUGUACGGCUGGAGUGCAGGAGAGGUAAGUGGAAUUCCUAGUGUAGCGGUGAAAUGCGUAGAUAUUAGGAGGAACACCAGUGGCGAAGGCGGCUUACUGGACUGUAACUGACGUUGAGGCUCGAAAGCGUGGGGAGCAAACAGGAUUAGAUACCCCAGUAGUC
RNAcentral lists this ribosomal RNA (440 nucleotides) under uncultured bacterium. Its description in RNAcentral is "partial 16S ribosomal RNA". It matches the Rfam family "Bacterial small subunit ribosomal RNA", at positions 338 to 795 of the family's 1533-position model. The record is from RNAcentral.